RNAcentral lists this ribosomal RNA (492 nucleotides) under uncultured bacterium. RNAcentral's name for it is "partial 16S ribosomal RNA". It matches the Rfam family "Bacterial small subunit ribosomal RNA", at positions 29 to 507 of the family's 1533-position model. The record is from RNAcentral.
AGUGAACGCUGGCGGUAGGCCUAACACAUGCAAGUCGAACGGCAGCACAGUAAGAGCUUGCUCUUACGGGUGGCGAGUGGCGGACGGGUGAGGAAUACAUCGGAAUCUACUUUUUCGUGGGGGAUAACGUAGGGAAACUUACGCUAAUACCGCAUACGACCUACGGGUGAAAGCAGGGGAUCUUCGGACCUUGCGCGAUUGAAUGAGCCGAUGUCGGAUUAGCUAGUUGGCGGGGUAAAGGCCCACCAAGGCGACGAUCCGUAGCUGGUCUGAGAGGAUGAGCAGCCACACUGGCACUGAGACACGGUCCAGACUCCUACGGGAGGACGCAGUGGGGAAUAUUGGACAAUGGGCGCAAGCCUGAUCCAGCCAUACCGCGUGAGUGAGGAAGGCCUUCGGGUUGUAAAGCCCUUUUGUUGGGAAAGAAAAGCAGCAGGUUAAUACCCCGCUGUUCUGACGGUACCCAAAGAAUAAGCACCGGCUAACUUCGUG